This 29-nucleotide non-coding RNA is filed under the name Homo sapiens (human). Lineage: Eukaryota; Metazoa; Chordata; Mammalia; Primates; Hominidae. The record is from RNAcentral.
UCAGCUUGAUAUUGAUGUGAGACAUGGGU